This 301-nucleotide ribosomal RNA is filed under the name uncultured bacterium. RNAcentral describes it as "partial 16S ribosomal RNA". It matches the Rfam family "Bacterial small subunit ribosomal RNA", at positions 509 to 807 of the family's 1533-position model. The record is from RNAcentral.
CAGUCGCCGCGGUAAUACGAAGGGGGCUAGCGUUGCUCGGAAUGACUGGGCGUAAAGGGCGCGUAGGCGGUGGCCAAAGUCAGGCGUGAAAUUCCUGGGCUCAACCUGGGGGCUGCGCUUGAUACUUGGUUGCUUGAGUGGGGAAGAGGGUCGUGGAAUUCCCAGUGUAGAGGUGAAAUUCGUAGAUAUUGGGAAGAACACCGGUGGCGAAGGCGGCGACCUGGUCCUUGACUGACGCUGAGGCGCGAAAGCGUGGGGAGCAAACAGGAUUAGAUACCCGCGUAGUCCCUGUCUCUUAUAC